Molecule: long non-coding RNA, 1130 nt
Organism: Globicephala melas (long-finned pilot whale)
Lineage: Eukaryota; Metazoa; Chordata; Mammalia; Artiodactyla; Delphinidae
Source: RefSeq, a predicted model, not a curated record
UUGCAGACGCUCACUCCGAAUGCGCGUGGAGCGCCCCACAGGACCGCCGCCCCGGGCGAGUUGACGCGCACACGCCCCCCGCCAGGCUGGGCGUCCGGCUGCGAGCCCCGGGUCUGCAAACUUGAGCAUCUCCCCUCGCCGCGCCCGCCAGACAACUUGGCGAGCACCUCGCGCGCCCGCACCCUGCUUCCUCCAGCCCAAUCUCCAAAUCCCAAACCCACCGCCGUGCUCCAGAGAAGGUGCCCACGUCGCCCCCCAAGUCCAGGAGCGCCCCCUCUCCACCCCCGGGGCUGCCCUGGUCACUCAAUCCUAACGCCCCCCUCAGCUCUGCGGGGAGCCGAAAACCCACCCCGUCUCGGGCUGCCGGGGCCGAGACUGUCAAAGGAGAAAAGGACAUUCAGAUGCAGUAUUCUAUCAGCUUUAUCUUCUGAAUAAGUCCCUAUGGGAGACUUCUGACCUGCUCCAAAGUAGACUGACUGCUCUCUACACCGAGUGGACCAUUGUCAUCCAUGGAUCUUCCUUCACCUGCGUAUUCUUCCCUCUUGGUGGAUCUACUGUUUCCUGUAUCCCAUGUUUUCUAUUGUCUUGGGCCCAGGGAAGAGAUUUCAGUGAGACAACUUGGAGAACUCUGGAGUGUGUCACUCAUGCCUGAAAAGUCUGGAGAGAGAGAAGCUGGAGUCAGUAGCUGGCAGAGGUGGACUAAGGGCUGCAGUUUGCUCCAUAGAAUCAGAAACCAAGUGGGCAAGUCACAGGAGAAGCAGAAGCGCUGGGUGAGGAAAGAAGAAAGAAGCCCCCCUUUCCCACAGCAGGCAGUGGACCUACAUGGCAAACUGGAGGGUGGGAAAGGUGGGGGUGGGGACUUUGCCGUUAAGUAAAGAUGGAAGUUUAUCUUGUUACUCUGGGCUGGACAUUAAUUACUGAACUAAACUGCUGUGUGACCAAAGGUGACUGGAAGACUUCUCAUUGUCUGAAUUGACCUGGUCUUCAUCUGAGGGGAGGAUGAAUGAGUUUUAAUGUGCAGUGUAAGACUGCAUAUGUGACAUCACUACAAUCAUUCUAAUCACACAUGUAAACCUUUUUGAAGAGAUAAAGAUAACAUUCUAAAAAGCAGAAUCUCUGGAUGGUGUGAU